AUCCCAUGAUGAGGACAGGGGGCGACGUAUUCCUGCAAUCUUUCCCAUGCCUCCGAGAUCGUUACAUCCUUUGUCUGGUGGAAGCUGGAUAUUCUUCCACGAAGGGC
Molecule: non-coding RNA, 107 nt
Organism: Oryza punctata
Lineage: Eukaryota; Viridiplantae; Streptophyta; Magnoliopsida; Poales; Poaceae
Source: Rfam